GACGAACGCUGGCGGCGUGCUUAACACAUGCAAGUCGAACGGAAAGGCCCUGCUUUUGUGGGGUGCUCGAGUGGCGAACGGGUGAGUAACACGUGAGUAACCUGCCCUUGACUUUGGGAUAACUUCAGGAAACUGGGGCUAAUACCGGAUAGGAGCUCCUGCUGCAUGGUGGGGGUUGGAAAGUUUCGGCGGUUGGGGAUGGACUCGCGGCUUAUCAGCUUGUUGGUGGGGUAGUGGCUUACCAAGGCUUUGACGGGUAGCCGGCCUGAGAGGGUGACCGGCCACAUUGGGACUGAGAUACGGCCCAGACUCCUACGGGAGGCAGCAGUGGGGAAUAUUGCACAAUGGGCGGAAGCCUGAUGCAGCAACGCAGCGUGCGGGAUGACGGCCUUCGGGUUGUAAACCGCUUUCGCCUGUGACGAAGCGUGAGUGACGGUAAUGGGUAAAGAAGCACCGGCUAACUACGUG
This 468-nucleotide ribosomal RNA is filed under the name uncultured bacterium. RNAcentral's name for it is "partial 16S ribosomal RNA". It matches the Rfam family "Bacterial small subunit ribosomal RNA", at positions 28 to 507 of the family's 1533-position model. The record is from RNAcentral.